UUAAGUGACGAUAGCCUAGGAGAUACACCUGUUCCCAUGCCGAACACAGUAGUUAAGCCCUAGUACGCCUGAUGUAGUUGGGGGUUGCCCCCUGUUAGAUAGGGAAGUCGCUUAGC
Molecule: ribosomal RNA, 116 nt
Filed under: Streptococcus sp. HF-1907
Lineage: Bacteria; Bacillati; Bacillota; Bacilli; Lactobacillales; Streptococcaceae
Source: RNAcentral